Molecule: long non-coding RNA, 562 nt
Filed under: Equus caballus (horse)
Lineage: Eukaryota; Metazoa; Chordata; Mammalia; Perissodactyla; Equidae
Description: lncRNA (ENSECAG00000049485.1)
Source: RNAcentral
AAAGAUUUGCACUGAGGCUAGAGAUUUUGGUGCAGAGGUACUUGGCUAGGAGACUCUAGACUAAGGAAACAUGUGUCAGUCAUACUCAGACCAAGUAAGGGCCAGGAAAUUCUUCAUCUAUACUUAUCUAUGAUUUAAGGUAAUUCUUGUUAUUGAAGUUGGUCAGGCAAAGGAAAGAAGAGGAAGUAAAAGUCAGCCUUGUGGGCCAGUGAUGCACUUUUUGAAGAAGGACUUGAUUUUGGUGCUGGCCAAGGUCCCGGGAGCCGGAAGAGGAGCUCUCCAAACUCCUAAAGAAACCACAACAAAGGCUCUUGCCGUAGUUUUUUCUCCUCUCCCUCUGCCUCCUGACUGACCCUGGUGCUUCCCCAUGUGGACCCAUGUGCAUGGCAAGCCCCCUUCUCUUGGAAUCUGGAGAGAACUGUCAGAAAGUCAGUCUUUGUUGGUAUGAAGGCAGCGUCCUCCACAAAGGGUCUUUCUGGAGGCAACUGGGGCUGAGAGCAGUGCCUGUCACAGAGGUGGUCAACAAGUAUCUGAAACACUUCAGGAUAGGAUUUGAAAACAC